GAGGUGUUCUAGGGUCAUCUUUAAAAGCUUUCACCUCAGCUUACAUUGUGAUGCCUGAGGUGUUUGUAGGAGUGCCCUGCGCCUGCCCUUCUCCCACCUAUCAGCUGCUCUCCGCAACAUGUGUCAGCAUGGCCCCGUCCUUUGAAAGCAUCUGAUCAUGAUAGCGGGGGACACUGUCAUCGUACCUGGAACGCUGGAAGAACCCACACUGGGGCGAGGAGAAAAAGAAGAGUUUAGACUGAAGUUGCUGUAGAAGUACUACAAUUACAGAGGCAACGCAUUCUUCAUAAAGAUUGAAAUGAAGAUUCAAAAUAAAAUGAGCUUUGCCCACAACGGUACAGAGAUGAUGACUGGCAAACAUUUGACAUGUUGAUAGGUUUCUGAAGUCAAGACCGAAAGUACAAGACAUUGUGCCAAAUUGUGAUUACAUACUACUAGCAAAAAAACAAAAGAGAUUUGCAACAGACUGUCCAUUUCUUUGAGAAGGAAGAAAUCAAAAGUACUCUGUGAGAAGUCAUCUUUAGCAAGCAGUAAGUCCAACAAUGCCACCUGCUCCAGUUUCUCCAAAGGAAAGUGACAAGAUAUUCCUCUUCACCCACUCUUUCUAAAUGAGUGUCUUCUUUCCCAUCAACUUAUAUUAACUGCCGAAGCCAGUAAGUAAUAAGAAUAAAGUAAUUACCCCAUUUUACUUGGAGACACAGUUAGUUGUAAAAAUGCCAAAGGGGGUUUAAAAAGUACUUGUAUUUUUUCCUUUGCAAAUUCUUAAUUUUUCCUUUUAAAUACGAAUUUACUCCUUCUGGGUUUCUAAGAUAAGGAGUCCAUACAAAAGAAAUUGAACACACAGGUAAUGUGCUAUUUUUGUAUCUUUUGUUGUUGUAUUUUUUUCCCCUGUCUACUCUUGAGUUGAAUAGCAUUAGAAAUACCAUGAGA
This is a non-coding RNA of Meleagris gallopavo (turkey), 930 nucleotides long. NCBI's taxonomy places the organism in Eukaryota, Metazoa, Chordata, Aves, Galliformes, Phasianidae. The record is from RefSeq and is a predicted model, not a curated record.